CCUACGGGUGGCAGCAGUGAGGAAUAUUGGUCAAUGGGCUCGAGCCUGAACCAGCCAAGUAGCGUGAAGGAUGACUGCCCUACGGGUUGUAAACCUCUUUUAUAAAGGAAUAAAGUGAGGCACGUGUGCCUUUUUGUAUGUACUUUAUGAAUAAAGAUCGGCUAACUCCGUGCCAGCAGCCGCGGUAAUACGGAGGAUCCGAGCGUUAUCCGGAUUUAUUGGGGUUAAAGGGAGCGUAGAUGGUUUGUUAAGUCCGUUGGGAAAGUUUGCGGCUUAACCGUCAAAUUGCAAUUGAUACUGGCAGACUUGAGUACAGUUGAGGUAGGCGGAAUGCGUGGUGUAGCGGUGAAAUGCUUAGAUAUCACGAAGAACUCCGAUUGCGAAGGCAGCAUACUAAACUGCCACUGACAUUGAUGCUCGAAAGUGUGGGUAUCAAACAGGAUUAGAUACCCCAGUAGUC
Molecule: ribosomal RNA, 460 nt
Filed under: uncultured bacterium
Lineage: Bacteria
Description: partial 16S ribosomal RNA
Rfam family: Bacterial small subunit ribosomal RNA
Source: RNAcentral